This 449-nucleotide ribosomal RNA is filed under the name uncultured bacterium. RNAcentral's name for it is "bacterial SSU rRNA". It matches the Rfam family "Bacterial small subunit ribosomal RNA", at positions 29 to 524 of the family's 1533-position model. The record is from RNAcentral.
AACGAACGCUGGCGGCAUGCCUAACACAUGCAAGUCGAACGAAGUCUUCGGACUUAGUGGCGCACGGGUGCGUAACGCGUGGGAAUCUGCCCUUGGGUGCGGAAUAACUUCUCGAAAGGGAUGCUAAUACCGCAUAAUGUCGUAAGACCAAAGAUUUAUCGCCCAAGGAUGAGCCCGCGUAAGAUUAGCUAGUUGGUGGGGUAAAAGCCUACCAAGGCGACGAUCUUUAGCUGGUCUGAGAGGAUGAUCAGCCACACUGGGACUGAGACACGGCCCAGACUCCUACGGGAGGCAACAGUGGGGAAUAUUGGACAAUGGGCGAAAGCCUGAUCCAGCAAUGCCGCGUGAGUGAUGAAGGCCCUAGGGUUGUAAAGCUCUUUACCAGGGAUGAUAAUGACAGUACCUGGAGAAUAAGCUCCGGCUAACUCCGUGCCAGCAGCCGCGGUAAU